RNAcentral lists this ribosomal RNA (207 nucleotides) under uncultured bacterium. Its description in RNAcentral is "partial 16S ribosomal RNA". It matches the Rfam family "Bacterial small subunit ribosomal RNA", at positions 568 to 774 of the family's 1533-position model. The record is from RNAcentral.
CACGUAGGCGGAUCUUUAAGUCAGGGGUGAAAUCCCGGAGCUCAACUCCGGAACUGCCUUUGAUACUGAGGAUCUUGAGUCCGGGAGAGGUGAGUGGAACUGCGGGUGUAGAGGUGAAAUUCGUAGAUAUUCGCAAGAACACCAGUGGCGAAGGCGGCUCACUGGCCCGGUACUGACGCUGAGGUGCGAAAGCGUGGGGAGCAAACA